Molecule: ribosomal RNA, 642 nt
Filed under: uncultured Actinomycetes bacterium
Lineage: Bacteria; Bacillati; Actinomycetota; Actinomycetes
Description: bacterial SSU rRNA
Rfam family: Bacterial small subunit ribosomal RNA
Source: RNAcentral
GCAGUCGAGCGAUGAGAUCCCUUCGGGGAAGGAUUAGCGGCGAACGGGUGAGGAACACGUGAGGAAUCUGCCUUCAACACUGGGAUAACUCCGGGAAACCGGGGCUAAUACCGGAUACGAGACCUGCAGGCAUCUGCGGGUCUGGAAAGUUUUUCGGUUGAAGAUGACCUCGCGGCCUAUCAGCUUGUUGGUGAGGUAAUGGCUCACCAAGGCGACGACGGGUAGCCGGCCUGAGAGGGCGACCGGCCACACUGGGACUGAGACACGGCCCAGACUCCUACGGGAGGCAGCAGUGGGGAAUAUUGGGCAAUGGAGGGAACUCUGACCCAGCGACGCCGCGUGCGGGAUGAAGGCCUUCGGGUUGUAAACCGCUUUCAGCAAGGAAGAAGCGAAAGUGACGGUACUUGCAGAAGAAGCACCGGCUAACUAUGUGCCAGCAGCCGCGGUAAUACAUAGGGUGCAAGCGUUGUCCGGAAUUAUUGGGCGUAAAGAGCUCGUAGGUGGUUCGUCACGCCGGAUGUGAAAAUCUGGGGCUUAACCCCAGACCUGCAUUCGAUACGGGCGAGCUAGAGUGUGGUAGGGGAGACUGGAAUUCCUGGUGUAGCGGUGGAAUGCGCAGAUAUCAGGAGGAACACCAAUGGC